UGGCUGAGAGAGGUGUGCGC
RNAcentral lists this unclassified non-coding RNA (20 nucleotides) under Chlamydomonas reinhardtii. RNAcentral describes it as "small RNA Cre_3339". Lineage: Eukaryota; Viridiplantae; Chlorophyta; Chlorophyceae; Chlamydomonadales; Chlamydomonadaceae. The record is from RNAcentral.